This is a long non-coding RNA of Trachemys scripta elegans, 1935 nucleotides long. RefSeq lists it as uncharacterized. The record is from RefSeq and is a predicted model, not a curated record. Lineage: Eukaryota; Metazoa; Chordata; Testudines; Emydidae. The transcript is spliced from 3 exons.
AGGUUUCCACUGAGGACUCUAAAUUAGGCCACCGGGAACGUUUCCUUUGCUGUCAGUUUCAUUUCCCAGAACUCUUAAAGUCCUUCAUUAUUUAUCCUCUGCAAAAGAAAGCUCUUGGGUAGACCUGCUUUUCGCCCAGGGAGCCAUUAAAUCAGGCAGCCUGACUUUCCAGCCCUGCUGUGGAUGGAAGAGUCCAGCACCAUGGCCUGGGAUAAAGCCUGGCAGACAUUUUUCAGUCUCGUUAAAAAGGUCCACCUGCAGCAGGGUCACAAAAUGACAAGAAAUACAGAGGACAACCCCCUUCAGCGUUUGAAUGCUGGGCAGCACAUGCCUUAAAGGAGGCAGGAGUGGGAUAAAAAUUAAAAGGUUUCUUCAAGAGCCGCACAAACAUGAUGUCUCAAGUGCCCUCUGGAGUCACAGAGCUUAAGGGACCCAGGUGAUAACCUAGUCUGAUCUCCUGCCUCGCAUAGGCCAGAAAGUCCCACCUGGGAAUUCCUACAUUGAGCCCAGUGACUUGUGGCUGAGCUAGAGUGGAGCGUUCAGAAAGAGACAACCUUGACCUUAACAUUUCAAGUGACGGAGCACCUGGCAAGACAGAACCCAGGAGUCCUGACUCCCAGUCCCUCCUGCUCUAACCACUAGACCCCCUUCCCCUCCCAGAGCUGGGAACAGAGCCCAGUUCCCUGGGGAUCCUGCUCUCGAUUCUGUUUACCCAGAUACUUACGAUGGCAAUGAGGGACAUGUAUCUGUAUGCUUUUCCACCCACCUGCAUUGCUAAAGCACUAGUCCCCGCAGGGCUGGGGCUCCCUGUACAGAAGUUGUGAUGGGAAAACUCUUCUGGAAUUCAUGUACCACAAGGAAUGUGCAGCUGGCACUGUGCUGACCCUGGUUUAGAAAUACCUAUGUGGGGAGAAGAUUUCUGAGACCAGCGGGCUCUUUAAUCUAGCAGGACAAAGCAGAAUGAGAUCCAACAACGGGAAGCCAAAGAUGGAACAAUUCAGGGUGGCAAUGAGGCGCAGAUGGUUAAUUCACCCUUGGGACAACUUACCAAGGGAUGCGGUGGAUUUUCUGUCCCUUGGGGUCUUUAAAUCGAGAUAAGGGAUCUCUUUCUACAUGCCACGCUGGUGUUGGAAUUGCUGGGUGAUAACCUCUGGCCUGGGUUAUGCAGGAGAUCAGAGACUCAAUGGUAGAGUGGUCCCUCGUGACCUUGAAAUCUGAGUCCAAGAACUGUCUUUUUGCCCAGGACAUGCCCCGUGCUAUGGUCCGCUAUAAAUGAAGGCGAAAUUGCACAGAGACGGUGAACCGCAAACCCUUCCAAUUCGAGACAGUCUCACACUUCCCAGCUCUGGCUCUGCAGAGCCCCGUGAGAUCCUAUGUAGUGUUUGGGCUCGGACAGAAUGAACCCGGGGCUCUCAACUGGUGACAACCCAGCCAAAGCAGCAACCCAGCACCCACGGGUGUUGAGGUUGGGCCGACAUGGAAAAGUCAGCUCUGCGUGGCUACAUCUGUCACAGCGUGAAAAGGCCGUGCCUCUGCCCGGUAUGCCAACCCACCCCCAGUGCAGGUUCUGUUAUGUUAAUGGGCGAGUACUUCUAUCAACAUAGCUAUUGUUGUUCAGGGAGGUGGUGUCCCUAAACCGACAGAAAAACGCUUUCUAUCAGUGCAAGCGGCGUCUCCGCUGAGGAGCUGGGUCGGCAUAGAGUCCCCUGAGUGAACGAGCAGGAAAGGCCUCAUGAGACAUGAACACGUGGGACUGUAAAUCAGUCUGAUCGUUAACUGGGAGCCUAACAGAGGGGAGAUGGGAGAGGAGUGAAGUCCUGCUUGUUUUCCAACCCCCUUCUCCCCCCCUCCACCACCUGGUAUCUCUAACCUUCAGAGCAAUGUAAGUAGGAGACAAGAGACAGCAAGUGGAUACCGACAGUCGGAGGGGAGGGA